This 325-nucleotide ribosomal RNA is filed under the name uncultured eukaryote. RNAcentral's name for it is "partial 18S ribosomal RNA". It matches the Rfam family "Eukaryotic small subunit ribosomal RNA", at positions 1470 to 1796 of the family's 1831-position model. The record is from RNAcentral.
CCCUUAGAUGUUCUGGGCCGCACGCGCGCUACACUGAUGCAUUCAACGAGCCUAUCCUUGACCGACAGGUCCGGGUAAUCUUUGAAUCUGCAUCGUGACGGGGAUAGAUUAUUGCAAUUAUUAAUCUUCAACGAGGAAUGCCUAGUAGGCGCAAGUCAUCAGCUUGCGUCGAUUACGUCCCUGCCCUUUGUACACACCGCCCGUCGCUCCUACCGAUUGGGUGUGCUGGUGAAAUGUUCGGAUCGGCCGUUUGUCGCGGUUUCCGCGGCUCGUGGCUGUGAAGUUCAUUAAACCCUCCCACCUAGAGGAAGGAGAAGUCGUAACA